ACUCUAUAGUUGCGUGGAUAAUUUUUAAGAGAGCUUCAUUUUUUUAAUAGUUUCUAAAUCAAAAUUCUAAUUUUAUUCUGAUUGUAUUUCGAAUUUCGUAUUCCUUCAUGUUCUCUGAUUUAAGUGAGAAUUCUUUUAUCAAGUUGGAUAUUUAGAUUUUAUUAUUGAGAUUUUACAGGGGAUGAUCUGUAAAUAGAGCUAUGGAAAAUUUGUGGUGGUCCUUCUGUAUAUGAUCCCAAUGAAGAAUUUCAUCACUUUUAUGGAAAUUUUCGAUCUUAGAUAUUUCUUUGUUUAGAUCAUUAAGUUGGAAUUCAUUUGGUAUUCCUUUAGGGUUAUAUUUUAUUAAUUUCAAUGAUUAAACUUAUUCCGGGUUGAUUUAUAGUGAUAGAUUUCGGUUUCUUCAUCUUACAAUUUAAUGUAGUUAGUAGAUCAUCGCCAACCUGCUUAAUCCGGUUGCUCACUACUUCUAGAAGGAUUCUCGGGGGUGACUGAAUAGAAAAGAUGUUCUACAUCACUGUUGUUUCUUCUUUAGCUUUUACAGAGUGAUUUCAAGGUACCAGACAGUCCGACUAACUAAGUUGUGAUUAUGAGCACCAUCAAGACUGGAUAUCACUUUUGCAAUAUGAAGAUCCUUUAAAAUGCUGCGACAAAGAAUCGUUCUUCCAAGUAUGAUUACUGGAUGGGACUGUUUAUAAAGAACCCUGUUAACAAAAAUGAUUGCCUGGGAGAAUAUACCAGUGAGUUAAUACCCCCACAGAGAAACAGACAAACACAAAUUAAUUUAUGACAGCAAAAUAAGCACACCCAGUCUGGUUUAGGUAGCUCAGCAUUUUUAAUCAUCUAUAUAGGGAUCUUCUCAAGUUUCAUUUAUGUGGUAAACAUGUUGCACCUUCAACCCCGCAACAUAUUACCGUUUUACUGCCAUUUCGACACCAACAGUAACUGGAUAUUGAAAGAAAUUGAGAAAGGAGAAAUAAAUCAAUCAAAUCAACCGUUAGCAACUGAAACUGUGAAACCAUAUGUAACAAAAUGUUUUUAUUGCAGUAACUAGAUAUGUUCCUAUAGCUAUUGACUCGAUGCCCUAGGGAAGGAAAUGCGUUACUAGCAUACAUUCCGUGUUUUCUUCUGAACAGGCUACUUGAAACGGAUUUAAUGGUCUAAGGUGAAUAUCAGGAGCUACCGUAGGUGGUCUAAGGUGCCUACAAUUGGUCGUAAAUAUACUGCUGCUUAAUCAGGGAUUUGAUUUUGCUGGAUUGGAAAAGCACGCUCAGCGGAUUUCUCUUACUGGAAGUUUUUGAAAUUUGGAUUGGAGAAGGUCUAUGUAUUAUACUGAGUGUACUCACUACAAUAAAAAUUGUUUUCUCCAAAUACCAAGUAAAAGUGUAAGACCCAUAUUUCAAACUUUAAGACCCAUAUUUCAAAAUUUGCUUUUGCUGAUUAGAAAAUAGAUUUCUACAAGUUAAAUGUGUAUUGUAACACCUGCCGAAACAAAUGUAUAUUUUAACGUCUUACAAUUAAGCAGAUACGUACUUCACUUUUUUCUUUA
Molecule: long non-coding RNA, 1546 nt
Organism: Papaver somniferum (opium poppy)
Lineage: Eukaryota; Viridiplantae; Streptophyta; Magnoliopsida; Ranunculales; Papaveraceae
Exons: 6
Source: RefSeq, a predicted model, not a curated record